RNAcentral lists this ribosomal RNA (407 nucleotides) under Tomentella tedersooi. Its description in RNAcentral is "eukaryotic LSU rRNA". It matches the Rfam family "Eukaryotic large subunit ribosomal RNA", at positions 1 to 401 of the family's 3401-position model. Lineage: Eukaryota; Fungi; Basidiomycota; Agaricomycetes; Thelephorales; Thelephoraceae. The record is from RNAcentral.
GAUCUCAAAUCAGGCAGGACUACCCGCUGAACUUAAGCAUAUCAAUAAGCGGAGGAAAAGAAACUAACAAGGAUUCCCCUAGUAACUGCGAGUGAAGCGGGAAGAGCUCAAAUUUUAAAUCUGGCGUGCCUCUGGUCGUCCGAGUUGUAGUCUGGAGAAGCGUUUUCCGUGUUGGACCGUGUACAAGUCCCUUGGAACAGGGCGUCAUAGAGGGUGAGAAUCCCGUCUUUGACACGGACUACCAAUGCUUUGUGAUGCGCUCUCAAAGAGUCGAGUUGUUUGGGAAUGCAGCUCAAAAUGGGUGGUAAAUUCCAUCUAAAGCUAAAUACAGGCGAGAGACCGAUAGCGAACAAGUACCGUGAGGGAAAGAUGAAAAGCACUUUGGAAAGAGAGUUAAACAGUACGUG